This is a long non-coding RNA of Anguilla rostrata (American eel), 672 nucleotides long. RefSeq lists it as uncharacterized. Lineage: Eukaryota; Metazoa; Chordata; Actinopteri; Anguilliformes; Anguillidae. The record is from RefSeq and is a predicted model, not a curated record. The transcript is spliced from 3 exons.
UGUCGGCGUGCGGCCUGGCCUCCCUGUUAAAGGUGUGUCGGUUAUACUGGGUAACGACUUGGCUGGGGGAAAGGUGUCGUCAGACCCCGAGUGAGUGAUGUGAAGCCAGUGGUGCUGUCCAGGGCUGAAAUGAAUGACCCCAAUCUCCAAACCUCACCUGUUCCUUUGAAUGAAGGAGUCGCUCUCCAAAGGCUGCAGUGCACAGGCGUGUGUGCUGGUCGGUUCCAGGUGCAAAUUGCCAAAUUUCCUCCCCCAUAAAAGAUGGUGAUAUCGGGACAGCACUCUCUCUCGAUCUCUCUCUCAUUGUUCUUGUAGAGACGCUACAAGCUGCGACUACUGUGUCUUGUUAUUUCGUUUAACAGUCAACAUUGUUCUUUGUCAAAAUAUCACGUUGUAUACUUCAUAGACCAUGUGGUAAGGUUUUCUUUUCUUUUGCACCUUUUUGUUCUAGUCAGUCAGUGUAGGGUAGCAGCGGACCAGAAGACUCACUUUCUCCCCUUUAAUUUCUUCUUUGUCUCGUCCCAUCCUCGACGGUAGUGAGGGCAGAAGUUAUGUUCCAUUUAGACAGUGAGUGUUAGGUUAGAUCUGCUGGUUCUGUCCUGUCUACCUGUUUGUAUGUGGGUUUUUGUAUUGUAUUGGGUUAUUGGGUUUGUAAUAAAUAUAUACUUUGUA